GCAGCAACGGAAAGGCGCCACGCUCGUGAGCGGAACCAGCGUUCCGGGGGCGCUCAGUGUGGGCAGGCAGGAAGCCUGGCUCCACUAGGACACACAGAUUCUCUCCUGAGCAGCUGCGAACUAUGCGCCCCUUCUACCCUUAAGAGAUGGGAUGGGAGUCCAACAAACCCAGCCAUUGCUCAGACCCCAGCCCUUCUCUCCUCUAAGAAGCAGGUUCACCUCUGCCACCGCACUCGCAUUUUUUUUUUUUUUUAAAGCCCGGCCUUUCCUAGGCGGGGUCAAGGGCCCCGCCCACCGAAGCCACGCCCAGUAGCCGCCCCGGGGCGGGGUUCCCCUCGGCUCCCGGCUGCCCUUUCCCCUCCGGCCUCUGCCGGUGCUGCUGCGCCCUGCGGAGCUCCGAACACGUGCGCAGAGGCUGGCUGUGGCAGAUGCAACUGCAGGAUGACUUGAAAGUAGGGCAUCCUUCACCCAUCUGAAGGGAGGAAAUAGUGGCAGGUGACAGUCUGCAUGUGCAGUUUUCAGAUGCCUUCACCUGAAUGACAUCUACCUCCAUCAGGACCCCAGAUGUCUGACAGCCCUGUGUGACACCAAGAUAAGUAACGUAUGUAGUCUUCUUGUCAUGUAGGUCCCAAUUAAAUUACUAUAGCUCAGAUGGGGGUAGGGGACUUAAAAUUAUGAUGUGAAAAAUUAUGUAGAGUAUCAGACUUUUUUUUGGGGGGGGACGGAGUCUUGCUCAGUUGCCCAGGCUAGAGUACAGUGGCUCGAUCUCGGCUCACUGCAACCUCUGCCUCCUGGGUUCAAGCGAUUCUCCUGCCUCAGCCUCCCGAGUAGCUGGGACUACAGGCACCUGCCACCAUGCCAGGCUAAUUUUUUUAUUUUAAGUAGAGACGAGGUUUCACCAUAUUGGCCAGGCUGGUCUGAAACUCCUGACCUUGCGAUUUGCCUGCCUUGGCCUCCCAAAAUGCUGGGAUUACAGGUUUUUUUGUUUGUUUUUUGAGACGGAGUCUCACUGUCUCCCAGGCUGGAGUGCAAUGGCGCAAUCUCGGCUCACUACAACCUCUACCUCCUGGGUUCAAGCGAUUCUCCUGCCUCGGCCUCCU
RNAcentral lists this long non-coding RNA (1100 nucleotides) under Homo sapiens (human). RNAcentral's name for it is "non-protein coding SNHG4:1". Lineage: Eukaryota; Metazoa; Chordata; Mammalia; Primates; Hominidae. The record is from RNAcentral.